Triticum dicoccoides is the source of this 5628-nucleotide long non-coding RNA. RefSeq lists it as uncharacterized. NCBI's taxonomy places the organism in Eukaryota, Viridiplantae, Streptophyta, Magnoliopsida, Poales, Poaceae. The transcript has 6 exons. The record is from RefSeq and is a predicted model, not a curated record.
UCUUUCCUCUCUCUCUCCCGUUCACUUUCCCCUUUUCGACCCACUGUUCCCGCGUGUUCUGCUCGCAUCGCCUUCUUCCGCCCCGAUCUGCUUGCUUUCACGAUGACCUUCGCCGUCGAUCAUGCGUAUGGCUGAGAUCUAGGUUGUCCUGUGUUUUCUUGACGUGGUAUUGAUUCUUGAGUUUUACUGAACGUGGUCUGCUGGUGCUCAACUAUGCGUCCUUCUUCCGCCGUUCAUCGACCGUCUGCUGCUGCUGCUCAUUCUUAGCAGAGGUCUACCAGGUCCAGAAUAUCAUCUUGGCUCGAUCCUGCCCUGUACUGUGCUUAGUGCUCCUAUCAAGGAUGUGUGCUGUUGUUUACUUCGUCGUUCCUGUUUUAGAGACUCUUGCAGCUCGUUGUGCUUUGCCGGCCUUGUUUUACUUGUAUGAGGUGACUGAGGACGGCUCUGUUUUGGCUGGGGUAGAGCUUGAGCUUCCUUUGGAAGGCGUCGGCGCGGUGUCACGGAGGCAGUUCUUUUGGAGCACAGCCUGGCGUGGCUGCGUUGGCGCUUACGAUCACGCUGCUGUGCAGGCCAUCAAUUGAGACUACAACUAUGAAUGCAUGAUGGCGUAUAGGGAAUCCAUGCGUUCUGCUGUUCUUGUCGCUGUGCAUGCUGCUCGGCACUCCGGGAGAUUGGAGAGAGAGGUUUCUGUAGGGCCAGGGUUAUUUACCUCGCCUCCUGUUGAGCGGGGAACGUUAGAUUGGAAUUUAUCGUGCUCUCAGCUUAUGGCAUCCAUGCGUAAUGUGUAGAUUUUGUAAUUGAUUCUUGUACUGAAACUAGGCUGCUUACUGUUUGAGAGCUUUGUAUAACGAGAUGUGGUUUAUAGUGAGAUUAUUGCGUAGUCGGGUGUGCUGUUCUCUGUACCAAGUAUUCUCUUGCUCCCUGCGUCGCUUCUCUGUGUAAAAAAGUUUUCGGUAGGCUCUUGUCUUUGCUUCUUUUUGGGCUUGCAGCAGACAAAGUGAACACACUUUGAUUCCUGCCAGGAUUUUAGGUGGGCUAUUAGUGUAGGUGGGCUGUUAGUUUUGUUUCUCUUUGGGCUUGUGGAAAGCAGACUGAAUAGGCCUUGGCUCUUGCUAUCUCAACCUUGUUUUUGUAGUGUUUUGGUUUGUCCCAUUUCUUUUGUUUUGCUGUUAGAUGCUUAGCUUCUUGUUGGAUCCAUUUGAGGGUGUUUUGAUACCUUUUUAGUUCGGGUUUCCUUCGUUGGUUAUUUCUUCCCUUUCAUGUACAGGGAUGAAAGUGGUUGGUGGUAAAGCAUUUCCAGUGCCCUCUUUAUAUUAUUUUAUCCCUUUUAUUUGGGUUCUGUUCUUUUAGAUUUGUUUCUUACUUUCAGGAUUUUAAAAGGUUUUAGUGCUGCUGCGUUGAGUAUGGUAGUUCCUUGCUUUAGUCAAUGUUUUAUGCUCCGGCAUGUCCAUCUUUAGAUUUCUCUAGUUUGUUUGGGUGCUUUCUUGACAUUCCAGUGAUGUUUGUGCUAUGAUGUAGGAUUUGUAGUCCAGUGAUUUUGCUAUGACCUCCCUCACGCCUAUGUUCUACCGUAUACGCUAUGGAUAGCCCUCCUGUUGUUUCUCGCCGCCGCAGGGCCGCUGCUGGGGUGGCUCUUGUGCCUCUUCCUUGUGCCUCUCGUCGUAAGAAUCCUACGGAUAGCCCUCCUGUUGUCCGUCGCCCCCGUAGGGUGGCUGCUGGGGUGCCUCUUGUGUCUCUUCCUCGUCCCUCUCGUCGUAAAAAUCUUAUCUCAUCGGCGUUUGUUGGAUAUAUUGCUUCAGGCCUUCCCAAGAGAAAAUACGAUGGUUUCUUCCCUGUUCUUACCUCUGAGGUUACUGCUGUGAAUCGAAAGAAACGCAAGCUCAUACACGAUAGAUGGUUUGGUGGUCGUGUGCCAGGUGCUUAUUUAGUUCCUUUACUCUUUACUUCCUUAGACUUGUCUUAUGUUUAUGACGCCGUGUGAGCUUUUGGAUUGCUGUAUUUCGUACAUAUGAACCGUUUACUUCUCCCUUAGAUCCUUUGUAGGUUGGUUUCACCGAUGAGGAGGUUGCUAUCUUUAAAGGUAAUACAUGCGAUAUCUUGUUUGCGCUGCCUCUGUCUUACCAGAGUCUAUUGUCGUAUGAUUUGAUCUAAGGACAUACUUGUUCCAUAGCUGGUUAUGUAGGCAGGUCUUUCUAUGGAGGCCCAGCAUAUAAGUAUUCCCGUUGUAAGUCGAGCUUCUGGUAUCAGGAGAGGGCGAAGUCUGAAUCUGCAGUAAGCAAAAGGCGGGUUGUCUACAACCUCUGCUGCAAGGGUGGGAAAGUCUUUGUUGAGCCUUUCAAAAAACCGCCUCCAUUUCUUGUUGACCUUCUAAAAUUUGAUGGACCCCCACAGAGCAAGGAAUUCAUUGAAAAAAUACGACGAUAUAACUGUUUGUUUGCUUUUACUUCCAUGGGGGUGAAAAUAGAUCGUUCAGUAAAUAAUGGUGGUGGUCCAAACAUUUUUAAAAUCGCCGGCGGUAUAUGUCAUCAGAUGGGAUCUCUUUUGCCACAGGAAGGGAAUGCUCCAAAAUUUGCAGAGCUGUAUGUGUUUCAUGGUGGAAAUGAGAUUGAUAAUCGAAUUCAGGCUUUAAACAAGGAAGAUAGAAUUCUGGGUGGGUUAGAUAAGGAUAUUGUUAAUGGUCUGAAGCUCAUGCUUGAUGAGCACAAUUCUCUUGUAAAAAAAUUCCGCAUCGCUGAGGAGAUCUUGGCUGAGAUGAAUUUGCUGAAAUUUCUAUUCGUAUAGUUGCUCCUGGCAAAGAUGAUGGCCCUCAGUUUAAUCUUCCUUCCACGGAUGAGCUUGCAUGCUUAGUUGUUGAUGAAUUAACAAUGGAAACUCCUAGCCGUGAUAUAAUAAUACAUGGUAGGGGAACACAUUGGCAGCAAAUUUCGUCUUUACAUCCUGCUUAUAUGGCUUUACAAUACCCUCUACUCUUUCCGUUCGGUGAGCGUGGAUUUCAGCUUGGUGUGAAAUACAUAGCGGUAGAUCACGAAGGUUCCAACAAAAGAGAGAAAAUGACCAUGCAGGAUUUUUAUUGUUUUUGUUCACACUAUAAAGAAGGCCAGCAUAACCCUUGUUUGUCUUGUGGUCUGUUGUCUGAUCAGGCAGUUGUAGAUUCUCGUGUAUGCACAGAUGAGUCUAGGCUACAUUUUAUUUUGCUAUGCAACGAUGAUCUGAGAGCUGAGAAUUUACAAGGGCUUGUAGAUGCGGUUGGAGCGGGCCGCAUAGAUGGAAGUUCAGUUGGUAAAAAAAAUAUUGCCCUCUUCUUUUACUGGUGGACGCCGUUAUAUGAUCGAAAAUUUUCAGGAUGCGGUGGCUAUCGCCCGUGUGCAUGGUUGUCCUGAGCUUUUUACUACUUUCGCAUGUAAUCCUAAGUGGCCUGAGAUAACGGAAGCUCUUUCUGUUGAACCUGGCCAGAGACCACAUAAUAGGGCUGAUAUUACUGUUAGGGUGUAUCACAUGAAACUUAAUGAGUACCUUCGGCAAAGUGGUCGCAAGUAAUGCAACCUGUUGCUUACUUUCUCUGUGGAGAUUUUUUUUGAGUUUAACUUGACUACCUUCUCCCAGUUUUGCACACUGUGGAAUUUCAAAAAAGGGGCUUACCACACGCGCAUAUACUUGGCAAGACAAAGAGAAGCGGGGUGAGGUUAGCCCUUCUUUGAUUGAUUCGUUUGUGUGUGCACAAAUUCCUGAUCCCGUGGCAGAUCCUCUUGGAUAUGCCCUCGUUGCUGAGUUCAUGAUGCAUGGGCCAUGUGGAAGAAACAUCGAUUGAUGAAGUAGGCUUUCCUGUCUACAGGCGUCCAAAUAAUGGCCGUUUUAUCAUGAAAAACAAGACUAGGCUUGAUAAUAGGCACGUUGUGCCUUAUAACAUGGCAAUGCUAAAGAAAUAUCAAGCUCAUUUAAAUGUUGAGUGGUGUAACAAAACACAUGUCUUAAAAUAUCUGUGUAAGUAUGUUACCAAGGGCCCUGACAUGUCAAAAACUCUGUUUAAUAGGAUAAAAAAUUCUGAGGAUCCAAAUGAUAAUGGGGUGGAUGAAAUUGAAGAGUAUAGAGCGUGUCGAUACGUAUGUGCCCAUGAUUCAUUUUGGAGGUGUUAUGGGUAUGACAUACACAGUAAAGAACCUUCUGUAGAAAGACUUGCUGUUCAUUUACCAAAUAAACAUAUUGUGCGAUUUCGUGCAAGGGCCAACCUUAAGGCUAUUGUUAACAAUUCUUUGCUGCACAAAACCAUGUUAACAGAAUGGUUUGUUGCUAAUGCUAGAUACAAAAGUGCCAGGUCUUUAACAUAAUGUGAUUUUCCCACAAAAUGGUCUUGGAAUGCACAGAGUAAGGUAUGGAUGAAAAGAAAACUUGGCAAAAGAAUUGGUAGGAUUUACUAUGUGCAUCCUUCUGUUGGUGAACUUUAUUAUCUUAGAAUGCUGCUAAUGAUUGUAAAAGGCGCAAAGUCCUCGCGAGCGGGGGCUGGCAGUAGCGUGCGCGCGAUGCGCGUACACCUUGCCGUUACUGGCGCUCGCUUCUCGCGAGACCCUCUCGGGUGGACCGGCGGACCUCUCAGGAAACCAAAACCUCGUGAGCUCGUGAGGGGCUCCUCUCAGAAGGAAUGCACGUCCACAACCGCCAAACCAGUUUGAAGCCUGGCUAAACCAAAGUAAGUUACGGCAUUAAGCCCGCAAGGGGAGUCGCGAGCACCCAAAAGCACGCUUUAAGCCUAGCCUAAGGAAUGAAGUGGUAGUCUAUUUACAUGAAGGGCUUCCCCUCUCUAAAAUGCUCUUACAUCGUGAGGGGCCGUACCCAAGCUUUUGCGUGCAGGUUCAAAAAAAAGGAGCAAGGGCUCAGCCGGACAUAUCGCUCGCCUCGUCCCCCGAAUAGCUUCCGGACAGGCUGCUAGUGCCAUCGCUGUCGCUAUCUUCACUGCCAUCAGCCACACUGCCAUCAGCUUCGCCGCCAUCAACCACGUCUCCCUCAUCCGCGACGACCACCACAGCAACAACGUCAUCAUCAGAAGCAAAGGCCCUAACCAGAGCGUCCACAUUGUCGUCCACCCAGUGCGCGAGGUUGCCCCGAAUGACCGCGGGCACUAGGGCAAUGGCGGCGGCAAAAUUAAAGUCAGGAUUGGUGUUCAGGAGAUGGCUGAAGACGAGGGAGAAUGCGCGCCCGAGAAGGCCUUGGCUCUUUUCGUCCACAAGCUCGCGAGCCCUCUCAGCACGGCUCUCCAGGCACGUAACAACAUUAGUGAAGAAGCGAAGAUGGCUGGCGUAAUCCUCGGCGUGGGGAUGAGGGGCAUGCUCAUCGCAGAUGACACCAAGCGCCUGGUUGGCCUUCGUCCCGAGGUCCCAAGUAUGGGAGUGUGCUCGCGCAGUAGCAUCUGCCGGCGAAGUGCCUCCUCCCUGCUUUGCUGCGCAAAGGACUCGGCGCUGGCAACCCGCUGCUGAAGAGAGAGCAGCUCGUCACGGGCGGAGGCCAGCUCGGCCUGCACCGAGAUCAGGGCGGCUGCGACGGCUUUCUCGCGCUGUUCCACCUCAGCCAGCCCUGACCUUAGGGCAGCGGUCCUGCCCACACCUUCAGCUUCCACGAGCUUUAGCUUCAGGUCGU